UACGGAGGAUGCAAGCGUUAUCCGGAUUUAUUUGGUUUAAAGGGUCCGUAGGCGGGCUAAUAAGUCAGUGGUGAAAUCGAGCAGCUUAACUGUUCAACUGCCAUUGAAACUGUUGGUCUUGAGUGAAUUUGAAGUUGCCGGAAUAUGUAGUGUAGCGGUGAAAUGCAUAGAUAUUACAUAGAACACCAAUUGCGAAGGCAGGUAACUAAGAUUUAACUGACGCUGAUGGACGAAAGCGUGGGGAGCGAACAGGAUUAGAUACCCGGGUAGU
RNAcentral lists this ribosomal RNA (271 nucleotides) under uncultured prokaryote. Its description in RNAcentral is "partial 16S ribosomal RNA". It matches the Rfam family "Bacterial small subunit ribosomal RNA", at positions 524 to 794 of the family's 1533-position model. The record is from RNAcentral.